Long non-coding RNA from Sander lucioperca (pikeperch), 692 nucleotides. RefSeq lists it as uncharacterized. Lineage: Eukaryota; Metazoa; Chordata; Actinopteri; Perciformes; Percidae. The record is from RefSeq and is a predicted model, not a curated record. The transcript has 2 exons.
AUGGGAGUCAGGACUUCGAGAUAAGAAUGUCACGUCAUAUGCCACUCCCUUUCCAUCCCCAGAUCAGAUGAUAUAAAUAAGAUGUGAAUUUCACUUCUGCUCACAGACUGACUGGUGUGACAUUCAAGACUAAUCAUGACUAAGAACUUCUUGUCUAAAAAUGAGCAGCUCUUUAUGGGCCAAUAUCUGAUGUCCAACAACGGGAAGUAUAAGGCUAUCUUCCAGGUGAGUAACUCUUUCUUAAAUGAAAUGCUCACUCUAUAUUUUGAUAUAUUGUUUGGAUAUCAGUCAAAUGCCUCUGUUUCUGCCUGCAGGAUGAUGGUAACUUUGUCGUCUAUGACUGUACCUGUAGCCCACACAAGGUUAUGUGGGCCACAGGCACUUGUGGAUCAGACGCUGUCCGUGUGAUCAUGCAGGCUGACGGCAACUUGGUCAUGUACAACAACAGUAUCCGAGCCUUGUGGAGCACAGGGACAGACACCAAGGAGGAGUGUGAGAAGUGCCGUCUUGUAAUGACUGAUAGCGGCAAACUGGAGUUGAUCCAAACUGUACCUACAAAAGUUUGGAACUCAUGAUGAAAUUAGACCCAAUGUCUUAACAUGACAUCACAAAGUUUUUUUAAAUGAAAUGCUUUGCAAGUGAAAGUCAUCUUUGUUUGUCAGCGUGAAUUACAAUAAACAUGCCUGGUAUGU